GGACUACUAGGGUUUCUAAUCCUGUUUGAUCCCCACGCUUUCGUGCAUCAGCGUCAAUCAUCGCUUAGCCUGCUGCCUUCGCAAUAGGUGUUCUAUGUCAUAUCUAAGCAUUUCACCGCUACAUGACAUAUUCCGCAAACCUCAACGAUAUUCAAGACCUAUAGUAUCCAAGGCAGUUUCUGAGUUAAGCUCAGAGAUUUCACCCCAGACUUACAAGCCCGCCUACGCACCCUUUAAACCCAGUAAAUCCGGAUAACGCUCGCACCCUCCGUAUUACCGCGGCUGCUGGCAC
This 292-nucleotide ribosomal RNA is filed under the name uncultured Bacteroidota bacterium. Its description in RNAcentral is "uncultured Bacteroidetes bacterium partial 16S ribosomal RNA". Lineage: Bacteria; Pseudomonadati; Bacteroidota. The record is from RNAcentral.